Molecule: ribosomal RNA, 322 nt
Filed under: Mesofila sp.
Lineage: Eukaryota; Cercozoa; Mesofilidae
Description: SSU rRNA
Rfam family: Eukaryotic small subunit ribosomal RNA (bases 110-322)
Source: RNAcentral
GAUUUCUGGCGUGGUGCCUUCCGUCCGCCGCUGUCAAGCGUGUGAGUACGGGGGUGUGCCUGCCAUCCUUCUAGGGAGUGCGUCUGCCCUUUACUGGGUCGGGCGUACAACCUGGAUCGUUUACUUUGAAAAAAUUAGAGUGUUUAAAGCAGGCUUUUGCUAUGAAUACAUUAGCAUGGAAUAAUAAUCUAGGACUUCGGUUCUAUUUUGUUGGUUUCUAUAACUGAAGUAAUGAUUGAUAGGGAUAGUUGGGGGUGCUAGUAUUGGCCGGCCAGAGGUGAAAUUCUUGGAUUCGGUCAAGACUAACUUAUGCGAAAGCAUU